CCUACGGGAGGCAGCAGUAAGGAAUAUUGGACAAUGGACGAAAGUCUGAUCCAGCCAUGCCGCGUGCAGGAUGACAGCCCUACGGGUUGUAAACUGCUUUUAUACAGGAAGAAACACUCCGACGUGUCGGAGCUUGACGGUACUGUAAGAAUAAGGAUCGGCUAACUCCGUGCCAGCAGCCGCGGUAAUACGGAGGAUCCAAGCGUUAUCCGGAAUCAUUGGGUUUAAAGGGUCCGCAGGCUGUUUUUUAAGUCAGAGGUGAAAUCCUGCAGCUCAACUGUAGAACUGCCUUUGGUACUGGAAAACUUGAGUUAUUGUGAAGUGGUUAGAAUGUGUGGUGUAGCGGUGAAAUGCAUAGAUAUCACACAGAAUACCGAUUGCGAAGGCAGAUCACUAACAAUAUACUGACGCUCAUGGACGAAAGCGUGGGGAGCGAACAGGAUUAGAUACCCUGGUAGUCCACGCCGUAAACGAUGGAUACUAGCUGUUCGUCUAACAUUGGUUAGAUGAGUGGCUAAGCGAAAGUGAUAAGUAUCCCACCUGGGGAGUACGGUCGCAAGACUGAAACUCAAAGGAAUUGACGG
This 584-nucleotide ribosomal RNA is filed under the name uncultured Flavobacterium sp. RNAcentral's name for it is "bacterial SSU rRNA". It matches the Rfam family "Bacterial small subunit ribosomal RNA", at positions 338 to 916 of the family's 1533-position model. The record is from RNAcentral. Lineage: Bacteria; Pseudomonadati; Bacteroidota; Flavobacteriia; Flavobacteriales; Flavobacteriaceae.